UUUAAUUCAAUUUCAAGUUUACUGUUUUGUUUGUUAUUAACUUUAUGAAUUUUCUUUUUGGAUGAACAUUCAUAGUUGUCAAAAUCAAUUCUACUUCACUAGAAUCAAUUCUACGGAAUGAUGGCAAAUGGUUUUACAGCUUCACAAUAGCUAGCUGCUGUUAUUUCUUCAGCUGUUUACUCCCUGUAGAAUCUUUUUCCGGUUUUCUUAUCCCAAAAGCGUAUUCCGGGGUGGUGGAUUUGGUUCUAUUAUAUCUGCCCUGUUCAAUGGACAUUAUAACAUCUCAGCUUGGUUAUGUGGAAACAACAAUUGUGGGACCAGGAUUCCAAGGCACUGUGAGAGAGUGGGCAUGCUGAUAAUAGUAUUUAGGGUGAUAUCCUCUGAUGGAACCAGAAUCUUGGAAACAGCCAAUGCGCCCCGUGCUCCAGUAACUUGCCUCGGCCUUUCAUCCGAUAGUAACCACCUGGUGUCAGGAUCCCAAGAUACAACAAUAUUACUCUGGAGAAUACAUAAAGCACUUGCAUCUCACUCAAGUGUAUAUGCAUAAAGCCCUUGGAAGCUGGUGGUGAAGUUGAAGACUCUUUGAGAUGGCAGAGGAUACAAUGUGCUUGAACUGCAAUGAUAGGUUGGAGAAUAAAAAUGGAUCACAUGUAUCCGAGGAUGGAAGCCUGCAGAAUUAUCAAAGGAAUAGAUGGAUAAAGUCCCCAGUUUCUGAAGGAGCUGCUAGACACACAAUCAUUUUAUGGUAAUUUUCUUUCAAAUAUAAUUGGACCAAAAAGCAAAAGUGAUAUGAACAACUGCUACAAUAG
Molecule: long non-coding RNA, 809 nt
Organism: Vicia villosa (hairy vetch)
Lineage: Eukaryota; Viridiplantae; Streptophyta; Magnoliopsida; Fabales; Fabaceae
Exons: 4
Source: RefSeq, a predicted model, not a curated record